GGCCCAAACUCAUAAUGGAGACUAGAAGGCCUAUCAUACAUGUGUAGACCAGGGCCAUAUGCAUUCUGUAACACCCCCAACCCGUAUCCGUCGCCGGAAUUGGGUUACGAAGCAUUACCGAACAUAUCGGAUAACUUAUCACUAAUUCACAAAUAAAUAACAUACAUAGCAUACUUUAAUUAAUACAUUACCUAAAUACAUGCCACAAUAUCAAAAGAAAGACACAUCACUAAAAUUUAUCUGAGGUCGGGAUUGCUCUUGAUGCUGGACCGGACACUGGCUUUCUACUAACCUGCACACGGAGACAACCGUACGCUGAGUAUAGGAAUACUCAGUGGUAUUACCAUAAUUCAAAUUAAUAACAUUAAUCGAUAAAUUAUAGACAUUUAAAUUUAUGUCAACAAUUAUUCAUUAAUUAUCUCGUACUUUAAAUCAACUUGAUAAUUAAUAACAAUAAGCAAUGUUUCAAUCUUAUAUUUAAUUGUAUUCAUACCUUAUUUCACUAUCUAAAUUUUUAUUGGAUUUUUCAACAACAAUUAUAAUAACUAAUUUUAUAAAAUUGUAUUCAAAUUAACUCAUACACUAUUUCUUAAUUCAAUUUAUACCAUUAAUCUUUCAAUAAACAUUUAAUACAUUAAAUCAACUUGUUUCAACAACAACAAUAAUAAUAAUAAUUAUCUUUUCAUUCGAUUCGUUCAUUUAUAAUCAAUUUACACUUAUAAUCUUUUAACACUCAAUUUAUUCAUUAAAUCCAUAAAUAAAUUUCAAUAACUUGUAUUCAAUUAAAUUCACAUACUAUUUCACUAUUUCAAAUCAUUUUAUUUUCACUUCUCAUUUCUCAACAAUAGCUAUUUUAAUUUGCUUUUCUUCACUUAGAUUUUUACAUCAUCUCAUACUACCAAAACCACCUCAUGAACUAUAUCAUUAUCUAUUUCUUGAACCCAUGGUUCAUACAUUUCAUUUUCUAUAUCUCAAUUUAAUAUCUCUUUUUGAUUCAUAUUCAAGAUCAUUCAAUAAAAUUUAUAUUAUCAAAAUUAUUCAUUUACCCCUAUUAACUUGACUCGGACUCUGACAGAUACGCGGAUUCCACCCAAACACACCACAAUAUCCAACCAAAACACACCCGAAAUAAAUAUAAAUCCUCCAUAACACACCAAUAUAUCAUAUCCUCCCAAACACACCAAUAAGGCAUUAAAUGCCUCUUCGGAUAAACCGAAGCAUAUAAUAACAUAAUCAUCUUCUCGACCGAGCUACAAAUCUCCUCAUCACAUCACAAAUCCUAUGGCAUGCCAUUUGUAUCCAAUCUAGUCCGAUAAGUUAAUAGGGUAUUCGAAUCACAUUUCAAUUCAAUCACUUUCUCAUACUUUCAAUUCCAAUUUAAUCACAAUUUAAUUCAAUACAUUUUUCACCUUCCAAUCAGUAUACCAUCAAAUGCUCAUACAUAUUCAUACUUCAUUUUAAUUUCAUUCAAUUCACAUACGAUUCAAUAUCAUUUAAUUCAAUAUCGAUAUUCACCUUAUUUUUAUUUACUAAACAUAUUAUUCAAAAUUCAACAAUUGCUAUUAAUAAAUUCAAUAUCAAUACGUAUUUAUCAUUCAAUUCAAUCAUGAUACUUACUUCAAUUUACUUAUCAUGUAUAUUAAUUUAAAUUUUAACAAUUAAUAAUUAAAUUCGAAUUAUGGUAAUACUAACCGUAAAUUUUCUCGAGUCACUCCUUGUUCACCUUCUCCUUUCCUUUAUCGGAUAAUGACUCUCGCACGACAUUAGCUACGUAAUUAAACAAUUAAAAAUCAUUAAUACACAAUUUCAUCAAAAUAGUUCCAUUUAUACCUAAACUUUACCUAAAUUCUAAUUUAAUCCCUUAUCAAUACUAAUUUUAUUUUCCCAAUCUAACUCCAUAUUCUCUCUUAAUUCUUACUAUAAACUCAUUUUAACUUUUCAUUUUCACCAUAAAUUCCUAAUUUCGAAAUUCUCUCAAUUUAGUCCCUAUUAAUUCAAAGCCUAUAAUUUAUUUUACAAAUCAACCUUUUACUAACUUCUAACUUAAAAUUUAAUCAAUUUAACCCCUAAUUCUUUCAUUUAUUCAACAUAAUCAAUGUCUAGAAAUAUAAUAACUUCUCAAAUUUCAACAUAAAUCCAAUAAUACUUUGUUCUAGAGUACCAAACACUCAAAAUUAUAAGAAAAUGACUUAAUUUGACUUACCAAUUGAGCUUGGAAUCUUGAAAUCCCAAAUUUUCUUCCUUUCCUUCCCUUUUUUUUCUUUUUCUUUCCUUCCCUUCUUUCCUUCUCUGUUUCGUUUGCCUAUUCUGUUUCUAUUCCCUUUUUCUAUCUUUUAUUUCUUUUAUUUAAUUAGUUUAAUAU
RNAcentral lists this long non-coding RNA (2362 nucleotides) under Gossypium barbadense (sea-island cotton). Its description in RNAcentral is "long non-coding RNA (GBAR_LNC013869)". The record is from RNAcentral. Lineage: Eukaryota; Viridiplantae; Streptophyta; Magnoliopsida; Malvales; Malvaceae.